AAAAUUCAUAGGUUGUGCAUAUCUCAGUUGAGUUCUUCAGCUGUGAGGAAGCAGAGCAGCGAUCGAUAGCAAACACAUGCUCAGACCACCGUCUAACUGAGAGAGGAAGCGUCUGAAUGAAAGCAGAUGCAGUUACAUAACAGAUUCACUGCGGUUGCUUUCAGAAAUCAUCAGAAUGACAGACAACUGCUGUUUGACCUGAACGUCUGCGCUGUAGAUCAGCGUCAGCGGGGAAUGAAUCUAAGGCCGACUCUGAUGGAGGAAACACGUGUGCGCAUUUCUCUCAUAGUUCUUCUGUUGGCAUCAUGGGACACCGCUCUCAUUCCUGGAGAGAUUCAGAGCCGCGUCAUGAAGAGACGCUUUGUGCCACGAAUGCUGGGAAGAGACCGGGAACUACAUUCAUCUGCUGUUUACUCGCCAGGACACAGAAGAACCUCCGACACAGAACCUAGAGAAGAGGAACGCAUGAUGGAGAAAAACAAACCCGCAGCAGAGCGUCCGUCACGUGGUCAAACACAAAAACAGCCGCAGGAUUCCAGAUGUUUGGUUUAUUGAGGACACACACAUUAUCUAACGGAGCCACUGCUGCUCCUCUUCAACAAAGAGGUCAACAACAGUCAGCAUUUGCUCAUUAUUGACUCUCUCAUUCCAGACCACUUCCUCAUCCAAAAAACCAUUGUUUGUUAAUCAUUUUGGCAGUUCCCUCAAAAACGGAGGUGCAUAAGUUCAGCUCACUGAGGCCCGCGAUCAGUCAGCUCCAGAGAGAAUCACACGACCAGUUCCAGUCCAAUACCAUAAUAUUAACUCGCCUUUCCAGGACAAAGAAAACCCGGGUUCAAAAUGACCCGAGCACAUGAUGAAAUUAGCAUUCUCUAUAUGCUAUAAAAUAAUUUUAUUGUGAAUUAUUAUACCUUUAUAUGACAUUUCUUAUCAAAAUUCCAGUGGAAUGGCACAGUUCUCCAAUCACUGAGUGAGUUUAAACUCCGCCCCUUUCUUACAAUCCACGACUGAGAGCCACGCCCACAUCUUAACAUCCA
This is a long non-coding RNA of Cyprinus carpio carpio, 1037 nucleotides long. Lineage: Eukaryota; Metazoa; Chordata; Actinopteri; Cypriniformes; Cyprinidae. The record is from Ensembl.